Etheostoma spectabile (orangethroat darter) is the source of this 172-nucleotide small nuclear RNA. RefSeq annotates it as U1 spliceosomal RNA. The transcript has a single exon. NCBI's taxonomy places the organism in Eukaryota, Metazoa, Chordata, Actinopteri, Perciformes, Percidae. The record is from RefSeq and is a predicted model, not a curated record.
AUACUUAGCUGGCAGGGGCAGACAGAUGCCCAUGCUGCAAGAAGGUGGUUCACCCAGGCGAGCUUGAAACCAUUGCACUCCGGUUAUGCGACCCCUGGAAUUCCCCAAAUGUGGGAGGAAUCUCGACUGCAUAAUUUGUGGUAGUGGGGGACUGCGUUCGCGCUCUCCCCUG